RNAcentral lists this transfer RNA (71 nucleotides) under Ipomoea nil (Japanese morning glory). It matches the Rfam family "tRNA". Rfam says of the family: Transfer RNA (tRNA) molecules are approximately 80 nucleotides in length. Their secondary structure includes four short double-helical elements and three loops (D, anti-codon, and T loops). Lineage: Eukaryota; Viridiplantae; Streptophyta; Magnoliopsida; Solanales; Convolvulaceae. The record is from Rfam by way of RNAcentral.
UCCGUUGUAGUCUAGUUGGUUAGGAUACUCGGCUCUCACCGAGAGACCCGGGUUCAAUUCCGGCAACGAAA